UGUCUAAUUAUUACCCAAGAUCACAUGACGAGGAGCAGGAGAGCCAGAUCUGAAAGGCCUUCUCCAACCCCAGGCCCAUAGGACUACCCGCUGUGUAUGUAACCUUUGCAUAACUGCCUGGGCCCCCAGACCCCUCACCCUGCCACCUUCUUGUCACGCCCUCUCUCUCUGUGGCCUUUUUCAAUCCAGAUUGCAGUGUGCUGGAAUUCCACCCUCCAUGCCCAAAACUCACCACGCUUUCUGUAAUUAAAAUUUAGUCCAUUUGAACAAAGCCUGGAACCUGACGAUUCUGCCUAGUUUUCUUUGUCACCAUGGCAACCAGAUUCUUGGCUGAAACUGGAUCCCUGGAGUAGAGACGGGGUUUCACCAUGUUGGCCAAGGAUGGUCUCGAUCUCUUGACUUUGCAAUCUGCCUGUAUCGGCCUCCCAAGAAGCACUGAGUUUUAAAACCCUGCAAAGCAUAUCUUGUAAGGAAUUGGUCUGACCGCCCUUCUCUGGUCUCUGAGAGAGGAAGACAGUCUCUGCAGGCUGCAUGCCUUCCAGAAUCUUCCUUCGACACUGAGGGGAGUGUGCUUCUGAUUGGUGUAUAUUGACUUGGUGUAUGAAAAGGAAGAUAGAAACAAAAAUAUACAGAAAACAACCAGUUAAUUUUUCUUAUUUCUUUUUUUUUGAG
Cebus imitator (Panamanian white-faced capuchin) is the source of this 672-nucleotide long non-coding RNA. RefSeq lists it as uncharacterized. The record is from RefSeq and is a predicted model, not a curated record. Lineage: Eukaryota; Metazoa; Chordata; Mammalia; Primates; Cebidae. The transcript is spliced from 3 exons.